UGGAUGAUGUGGUGAAAGCUCUCCUUUCCUUUUCAAGUGACUUCAGCCCCUAUGUAGCCAGGAGGGACCUCCUCUUGAGAUGAAAGGGUAGUUCAUUCUCCAGGCCCAUUCUGUUCUUGGCUGCU
Chrysemys picta bellii (western painted turtle) is the source of this 125-nucleotide unclassified non-coding RNA. The record is from Ensembl. Lineage: Eukaryota; Metazoa; Chordata; Testudines; Emydidae.